AUAAAAUCGCUGAUGAUAUGGAUUUUUAAUUAUUUUUAUGAAAUAAUUAUCGGUUGAGGGAUGAUAAUUCAAUAUUUAAAUAACCCUUCUAGUCUAAAGUAUAUAAAUAAAAGCACAUAUUUCAUCCAUGUUUGUAACCCAUCACGAGACAUUUCAAAAUUAUACUGCAAAUUGGCCACUUGCUAUUCUCUAGUUUAGUGAUCCACCUACCGUGCUUGGUAACAAGUCAAAAAUUGCCAGCAAACAUCGAGCACUUUUGCUCAAUUAUUCCAUCUACGAGGGCCCUUGUCCACUAAGACGCCCCUAUGCUUAAUUCUAAUAGUACUAGAAACAUGCACUCUCCCUGAGAUGAGUUUGUAGCCAUGUGCUCUACUCCACUGAGAUUAUUAAUAUAUACACAACAUUAUAAUACAAUUCAUAAACUAUACAAAAAUAUGCAGUACUACCUUUCAUUUGUUAAAUAACUCUUUUAAUGUAGACGGCGUCGUGUAUAUCUUCAUCGGUUUUUCGCCGUUACUCUGUUUCAAUGAGUAAAGUUUACACAGGGCCUGUCCUGCUAUUUUCCAAGCAAACCCACAAUAUUUCCCAUCUCCUCGGGCUUUGGCAUAGUCAUAAGAGAUGUUAUAGAUGGCAAGAGCUUCUUCGAAUAUAUCCUCGUCUCUCCUCUUGCUCUCCUCAAAUUCUGCUGCCUCGUAUAAUAUCUCUUUAUAUUUUUUAAUCACUUCAUUUGCAGCCUCAUUUUUGGUCUCUGUAUUUGACUUUAAAGCAUCUGUCAUGUCUCGCCUAUAUUGAUCAUAGAGUUCCUUCCAUUUCAUCAGGCAUGACUCAGAGACUUCGUCAUUGAAACAGUGGAGUUUCCAAACUUCAUUUUUUGGUGUAUCUUCUUCCAUGUAUAAUUUCACUUUGUCGUAUAUUAAUCCCAGGAUAGAAGUAGACUUGUAAGAAAUCUCUUCUUUCCUUUCCAAAUGAUGUGGGAAUAAUUCAGCCUUCAAUUGUUCUGGAAGUUCAAUCUUUUUCCCCCCUUUCUUUGGUGCAUCAAGAGCAUCAUAGUAUUUAUCAAUUAACUCAAACAUAUUCUUCUUCAUAUUCAGUUUCUCAUCAUGUCUGUCUUCUCCCAAUAUCAGAAGCCUAUCCAUCAUUGCCAACCAACUAUCAGCUGCCACACCAACAGUGUAACUUGGUUGAAACCUAGUCAUCAGAAACAGUCUGAACAACUCAUCUUCUAAUUCCUCAUCAGAAAAAUCACCAGGUUUCUUAUUAGGCACAUUAUUGUUAGAAAAAGGAGGACACCAUGGUUCACUCUGAUUGAAUUUGUCUACCAGCUGAAGGGAAAACAAUUUUAGGUGCUUAAUUUGAAAUUUAGAGCUACUAAAUUAGGGAAGGAAACUGGAAUUUAACUCAAUUCUGAACUUUGAAGAUUAUGCAACGCAUCAUCACUGGUAAUUGGUAAAGCAUGAACAAACAUAAGCAAAGACACACAUAUGCAUAAAAAGGUGAUGUACUGUUGUGUGAAAAAGCAAUCAAUUGCACAUAUUCUAGACAACCAUGAAUCCAAAAUUUUUCCUCAUGCUGCCCCUUCCCCCUCUAAAAAAAUUUGAGAAAAAGGAAGGGAAAGGGAAACUAAAGACUGAAAAACCGUGACCUGUACGAGUCAAGGUAACAAUUGCAUUCAGCAGUCAAUAGCAUAUGAAAACACUCAAUCACAAGAAACUUAUAUGAGUAAAGUAAUUAUAUGAAACACAGAUCUCUACAAAAAAUAUCCAUAUGUUCAUUUUGUAAUAUGCAUUUUUAGUAGCUUUUUUUUUCCCAGUCCUAGUUGCUUAGUAGAUUUCAACGUAAAAUUUUCAAAAGUUUGUUAUUUGUAAGAGAUAAUACCUGCAAUUUACCUCCCCUCCCAACACCACGUGACGUGCAACCUAAACAAUCAAUGAUUCUAUAUGUGCUAAUCUCAAACUCUUAUUCACUUAGCACAAUCACAAUGAAAUUGGUCAUAUAAAUCAUUUUCCCUCCAUUACACUCAGUUUAGACUACAUUCACAAAAAAAAAAAUCAAGAGCUUCUGAAUCCUUAUUCAAUAUUGGCCCUAAUUUAUGUCAAAUCCAACUAUUGUGGUCUUCACUCUUGUAACUUGGAUAAGGUUCAUCUUCUGUACCAAUGCAUUUUUCAUCUACCCUGGACAUGCCUAAAUUAUCUCGUUCCCUUUCCUCAAACACUUUCAAUGGAUGGUGCUGGCCACCUGCUUAUGAAUGCACUCGUUUUGAAUUGAAUCUUUUUUUUUUAUUCUUAUUUCUCCAUAUACCAUUCUAAUGUCUUAAUCUUUGCUAUGCUGAUUUUAUAAGCAUUUUUUUCAUUGCCAAAAUUUGUUGCUGUACAUCAUACCUGGUGAAAUUGCAACUAUGGAGGCUUUUAGCAUUCUAAUAAUCCAUUUGCCAACACAUAUCUACUCUCAUUAACUAACCCCAACCCACUUCCACACCAGUCCAUUCUGGCGCAAGAUGACUGUUGGCUAUUUUUCACUAAAAUGUAGGUUUUGCCGAGGUGCAUUGCUUAUAGUGAAAACCAUAACUUUCUGGGAAAACCUUUUUUACAUGUGGAUGCCUGCUAGAAUAUGGGAACCUACACCAUAUCCAUAUCCAUGUGCAAACAUAGCAUAUUUCUUUCGACAAACACUCUAUGCUCAUGCUUAAUUUUCACUACAACUAAGCUCCACUGCAGCAUUUUCACAAGGUAUCAUAUUAAUUAGAACACAGACCAUAAAAAUGCUGUAAAAUUUCUUGGCACAUCUGCAAUGAAGACUAGGGCUUGCACUAGUAACAAUUGGUUGAAAGCAUUUCAAUGAUUGUGCAAAUGGUGAAAAGAAGGAAAGUCAAAAGAAAUGGAUGAACUUAAUUCAUUAGGUAAAAUCUACUCAGUUAAAGUGGAAUUGAAAAAAUUGUAUAACAAUGCAAGUGUUCAACAAAUUAAAGCCCUAAAGGAGGACCCUGGAUAAGGGGAGAGGAUCUCCCAAGCAAACAUAUAACAAACAUGAUAAGGGCAGCAAAAAUAUUGAUUAUCAUGCAACUAUAUUAUUGAAAAUAAAUGCUGACCUCAGGAUUUCUUGACACAAAAUACAAAUCACCAUCAUAGUCACCUCCUGCCAUCUCAUCUGCCAAUGACCGUGGUCCUUUACAAGGGAAGAAUAUAGCAUACUUUGCAUUUCCUACAAAAUCAUUUAAACCCUCCACAUAUGUCGCCUUCAGAAUAUGUAUAUCUCCAAAAUGUAAACCAGGAUUGCGAUACACCAUUACUUUCCCUGAAACCUGUCCAUUUUCCAAGAUUACGCAAACUUCAUCACCCUCUAGGGUUCCAGUGGGAUCAGUAGUCCCCAUCAAAUAAUAUGAUUCAGGGAUGGGAAUGCGUCCCCCUUUAAGACUCUUCUUCUCCUCCCUCAUUAAUAUAAGCUGAUGGUACUGAAUAUAUGAUUCUUCCAAGGGAAUUCCGGAAAAUAGCAUUCUUGCCACCAUAUAAUCAUCCAUCUCACCAUUGAUAAUGGCCACUUGCAGAGCUGCAUGCUUUUUGGAGAGGGCACCUUGUGCAUCUUCCAAAGCAUUAUUCAAUAAAUCCAUAAAAAACUCUUGUGGAACCCCACCAUAGCUAAGAAGUGCAAUUAGGUUCCUUGAGAGAUAUGCUCUCUUUGGCCGAUUGCUUGUUCCAACUAUCUCAAAUGAACUUUUUGUGCAAGCAUUUUGCAUUGAAUCUGCCUCAACUUUGAUCAUUGAGGGCCGAACUUGAAUGGUUCCAGGGCAGAGCUGAUAAAUGUGGAACCCACAAUGAACAACAGAAAUAUUAGAAACACAUAGGAUGAAGAAAGAAAUUAGCAAACUGGGAACCUAGUAGCCCACAAUUUUGAUAUUGACAUCUUAACAAACACAUUGCAUAUUAGAAUUUUUUGUCUUGAACUAUUGUGUUGACUUAUUAAUACGCCAUUACAUUAUAAAAGAUCUUGCUAAAAAUUUGUAAUAGAGAUGAGCCUGUCAUCAAGUCAAGGUAUGCCAAUCACUUUCAGAUCUCUGUUACUUGCACUCAGGUAAGAGUAUCAAAUAAAGGGAUCUGUCCAGGAGCCAGACAUGCCUUUUUUUUCCAAAAUUUUCAUAGAUAUUCCCAUUAAUUUGAAGUGUCAAAUAGGCAAAUGCAUGUCCAAGUACUCUUACCUAGCAGAUAUUUUAGGUUAAAAUAAAAGUAGCCAUGCUUCGUAAGUAAUGUCAAUGGCUAAAUUACAAAUGCAAGUUGAAGAGUCUACACAUUUCCAAUAAGUUUCCACAAAAGAGAGAACAGAGAUCCUAAAGAAAGAAGAAAAAACAAUUGAAAGAUGCAAAAGAGGAACAAAGAAACAUAGCAGCAGCCAUGAUAUUAAAUUAAAACCAUUAGAAGCUUCAGAAUAAAAAGCCCACCCACCACCAAUCCCCACCCUCAACAAGAAGAGAACCUAAAAUGAAAAUGUAGUCGUGAGAUAUCAAUUCAUUCCAAAAUUUUUGCAAUGUUAUCCACUCUACUCCAUUGCAUUCCAACAUUAAUCCAACCAAAGGUAAUGACUAACAAAAGGGGUCAAUGAGAUAGCCUGCAAUUUGAUGGGUUACAUAUUUUGGCUGCUUCUAACAAUCUUAACCCAAAAUUAAAAGUUUGGUUCAAGUUCCCUUCUUAAAAAAAAGAAGAGGAAACGUAAAUAGGAAAGGUCAUUUAUGAUUUCUCAUAAUUGAAACUCCAAUAUAUCUGCUUGGCUUUCAAACUAAAGAGACAAAUAAUCUAUAAACUGUUGCAAGUCUUGACAAGAUCAAGAGGUCCAAUGGAAAAAAGCAUCAACCACAAUAAUACAUGAAUAUAAUAUAAAUGGUUUCAAACAUUAUUUGGACCAAAUUAGCUACACUGAACAUAAAAACUAGGAUAAGAAUGCUCACAUUAUUCUUCCUCUACAAUGGAAAAUGACAAAGAUUAUACCUUCUUAUUGACAAGGAGAGUUCCUUUGACAGUACCACCAUUGUGGAAAAGGCGGAACUGAAUCAGCAAAGGCUUGGCGAAAAAAAAAAAAAGAAAUGGUAAGAAGAUUGAUGCUUAAGUUGUCAAAUAAACAAACUGCCAGAUCACAUAUACCGGUUCCCCAAAAUUAGAUUCUGAAAAUUUGAUUUCUGAAGAUUUCCCAAUGAGCCCAUUACAGUCAAGUAAUCUCUAUCAACAUUGAAAAGCAAUCAAUCAGGGGAUGAGUCAUAUUACUUCCUAUAAAAAGAAGGCAAUGAAAAAGUAGAACAUUCACGCCAUAAAUUCCAAACUUAUUAAGAGUAAAAAAAAAAUCAGUUUAAAAGCAGAGAAAACAAUACACAGAUGAUAUACAACAAUGAGGCAUAUGCAAAACUGUAAAUUUGAGAAUGAGAUAGCACUUGCACAUUUUUAUAUUAGCACAACAUGAACAAGUAUGUUAACAACCAACACAUCCAAUGAAUCGUUCCCUCCUCUAGUGAUCUGUUACACAGAAGAAGAAAUAAGCUGAUUUUUACUAAAGGUUAAUUACAGCAAAAAGGCAGCUCCACUUUCCACCCUUGCACUAGUUCAAGACACUUUGACAAUGCAGCACAAACUGCGUGUGCAUGCACAAUUUCAAGGGAUAGGAUAACAAAAAUGAUUUUUUUUUCAAUUAAUAGAAAAAAGCUGGUAAAGUGAAUAGUAUAUGGAAAUAUAAACAAGAAAUAUAUUUAUUUCCUUCAAAUCACCCAUUUCUUUUUAAUUUCUUUUAUCCCAGUUAAGGGCAUUGCAUCUUAGAAAAAAGACAGAUCAUUGGUAAAUCAUUGUCCAGAUUGAAGCAGAGUUUCAUGCACAAAUUCAUAUAUUUAAAACAUUAAACCUAAAGAUGCACAAUCAUCAAAUGUUUAUGAAACAAAAUAAAUCAGUAAAAAUAUUUUUGCUUACCAAUGCCUUACAUUUAAAUUGAUAAGUAGCGAAGUCAAAAUUUACAAACCUCCAUUUCAUUACCAUUGAUGCACUUCCCCUUGUGCACUUUCUUCGGGCAUUUUAAAGCCAAAUCCUCUGAUAUAAAACCAGUUCCAUCUGUAUGUAUUAAAUGUUUUCCAUCUUUACCUUUGACAACAUUACCAUCAUUAUCCCGGCAUGGUAUAUCAUUUAUUUUUUCAAUCUUCACAGCUGAUAAGUCAACUUCAAAGUUCACAGUCUUCGACAAAAUGAGAGAGAAUCUAGCCAUAUAGUUGGACAAACUAGGCAAUUUAUCUACAUUCAUAAAUGUAGAUCUAGCUUGUCUGAUUGUUUUCCCAUCCAAAAUGUAAUUUGGAUGGUCCCUAGAAGCAUCAGACUGUGUGCGAACAAAGAAGCACUUAACCGGUGAAGUGGUCGGGUUUUUCUUCUUUUCUUCUUUCCCUCCAUCUUUAAACACAAAAAAGCGGUACCGACGUAAACCAACGAGAAUCCCUUCUCUAGCUAACCUGCCAUACUUGGCAAAAUAAUCGAUUGAACUACUUGUUGAACAACUCUUGUCAGCAUCCUCUUCUGCAAACUUGACCAUCAAAACGUUAUCAUCCCCUAACGUCCUUUGAAGGAAAUUGCUCAUCAUAGUUAAAUAGGGGCCCUUGAACCUAUAAGUUCCAUCAGAACUAACAUGGCAAUGGUAAAUGUGUGUCCUGCCACAAUCCCAGACAAGAUACUUCACACGUUCAUGCUCCCUGAUAUAGCCACAUCUACUGCCCACAGCUUUCCAAAUUUCAGCCUCAAAUUUAGCCAUUGGCAAAUGUUCCAUCCGUCGAAUCUCAUCCGCAAAUAGCACUUCCUCCAGCUUAUAGCCGCCUAUGUAACUCAAUAUAAGAAAUGCCUUUCUGAAUUCGAGCUCACCCAAGGCCUGCAACUGUGGACUAAUUCUAAUUCCCAGUCUGCUAGCUGUCUCUGAACUGGAGCUAGUAGCACUAUCCAGGGACAUUGAAGACUGAAUAAUAGAUUCACCUAUAAUCACCACAAAGAAUAAUCAAAAGACUCCCAAAUGCUCUGGUUCAUACGGAAAAAAACAAACAAAACCAGAGAAAAAUAUAGAGCGAGAGUACAAUGCUGGUGCAUCAUCAUCUGCGUAGAUGUGGAGCUGCAACUCGGCUGUUGGGUCGAUGUCUGAGACAAACAAAAGCGUUUAAUAGGGGAACCAUCGGCAGCCUUCUGUUUAGCCAAAUAUAUUACAAAGCCGUCAAAACUUUUUUUAACCCCUGUGACAGCGAUUGCAUGUAGAAUAUCGAGAGCCGCUUCUUCUCCCAAUGAAGCGAGCUCCAGCCGCGCCUGUAGUCCUAGCGGUGGUUGCUUCUGCUCAAUACAUAUCUUUUGUAUGAGUUGCUCCACAGAAGGAGGCAGCAGACAAGCAUCGGCCAUGGAUUGUAUGUGAUGCAGUAGAGACUAGAGAAAGAUUGUUUGGUUUGGGUGACC
Molecule: unclassified non-coding RNA, 7439 nt
Filed under: Hevea brasiliensis (rubber tree)
Lineage: Eukaryota; Viridiplantae; Streptophyta; Magnoliopsida; Malpighiales; Euphorbiaceae
Source: RNAcentral